AGAGCUGAGGGAGGAGGGAACAGGGUCAGACACACCCCUGCUCCAACCCCACCAUUUGGCUCACUCUCCCUCCCACCUGAGGCCUCCAGACUCACCUGGUAUAGCCAUUGCCACUGGAAGGGCACUGCCACCCGGAGCAAGAUGGCGAUGAUGCGGGUGAAGUAGACAUAACAGAUGACCUGUGGGAGCAAGGUGGUCAUGGGACAGAAGGGACAGAGAGACCACAAGGACUGUGAAAUGGGGGAUGACUGAUAGGAGCCUCAAGAUCCCGGGAAGUAGGUUAGGGGAUGGUGACUGGCUGAUUGUCCUUGUCCCCUCUUGGCUUCCCUCUCCCUCCCCACUCUCCAUCCCCACGAGCCAGCAGGCUCCUACCAUGACGUAGUAAUGCCGAAACAGCUUCAGCUUGGCCAGGUUCACUGCCACUGAGGGGAGGGCAUAGAGAGGGGGUUAGGGAAAAGAGACUGGUGGGAGGAAGGGGGAGAGAGGUCAUUUGGGGGAGUGUCCAAGGGGCAGAAAGUUUUCAGAGGAUGUUAGGGUGGCAGAGAGGCCAGACUGGGGCCCAGGGAGCCACAGGCCAGGGGGUGGGCAGACAAGCCAGAAGGGGUAUCUAGAAACAGAAAGAAGUGGGCUGUGCGCAGAGUUUUUGAGGGGCAUUGUCUUACCCUUCCCAUCUGUGCCAGAUGCCUCCUGGAGAUGCCGGAUGGACCUGGGAUGAGGGGUACACAGGGCAUGGUUAGCAGUGGUUCCACCCAUAGAUACAGAGGGUAGAAUCUCAGCUACUGUCCUCACCAGACUACAGGGAAGAGGAUUGCACCGCAGCAAAUGAGGUCCACUAGGAAGAGGAUCUCCUUCCAGAGCCCGUAGUCGCUGGCGCCCUCUUCACGGGACUCAAUGACAAUGACAUACUUGACAAAGGCCCAGCCUGAGCCAAUCAAAGCGAUGGUAAUGAAGAGGAGGGCACCCUUCAGCCUGGGGGAGCAGAGGGAUGGUAUGAUAAUGAAGUCAGGUGGGCUCAGCCCUCCCUUGCCCACUUCUUUGCACCUGCUAGGCAGACAGGGGCCACUCACAGGUGCGUGAUGUAGUGCAUAACCGCGAGGCCUUCAAUGGGGUGACCUUGGCUGUUGAUGAAGUAGUAGUUGAUCUGGAGGUAGAUAGACAAUGGACAGUCAGACAGAUGGAAUGGAUGGACAGUUGGCCAAAUGGACCUCCCACAAGCCCCCUCAUUCCCCAGCUCCAGGUCCUCACACUGUGGAAGAGGAGAGAGAUGCUUUUGGUGAAGGCCAGGGCUGCCAUGAGCCAGUGGAUCUUGAAAACGUUGUACCUGGUUGGAAAGUCAGGGAGAGAAGUAGAGAUUGUCUUGAGGCAGGGAUAAGGGUCUGGUGAGGGGAGAUGGGGACUCCCAGGGGCAAGAGCAUUACGUGUUCCUGCAGAGGACUGACACCCAGAAGAUGCCAGCAGCCAGGAAGCAGGCAGACAUGACCAUGUACAGCUUGAAAAGGGGAAUCUCUGCGGCUGACAGGAAGCCACCAGGGUUCUUCUCCCGAAUCAUCACCUGGUGAGGGGACAGAGGUGGGUACUGGUGGUGGCACAAUCCUAGUGAGACCACUCCAGGUUCUGCUUUCUAGUUGGAUGACUAGCCCUCCCUGAACCUUAGUUGGCCCAUCUCUCAACACCUUCUGCUACCUCUCGCUGCUACUCGAGGGCUGUCCAGAGCUAAACUCCUGGUGGGUGCUCCCUGGUACUGCUGCCCACCCUCUGCUCACCGUGAUGUCGAACGGAUGCUCCUUUCCAGGCACUGAGUUGUUACAGUUGUGGAAGUUGAGGUUGUAUUGACCUUCCUCAGCCCUAGAGCCAAUCACCACAUGGAACUGGGCAGAGGAAGAGUUGGGGGAGAGAGGAGCUCAGCUUGGUGGUCCUCUACUCUAGAGGGGGUGGGAAGGCUGCAGGUGCUACAGACACUCACACUAAAGUUGUAGGAGUUGUUGAGGUGGCCCAGACCCAACACCAGCUCCUUGUCCUUCCCACCAGGUCCCUGAGGGAAGAGAACCCCUCCAUCAGCUGGGCCUGGGUACCCACACCCACACCCUGGGGUGGGCCUUUCUCCCUCUUGCCCUGGCUCUGCCAAACCUGAGACACUGUAGGCUGUGACUGGGCCUUGCUGACUGCAGUGGUCCCUGUAGGAGAUGGGUGAAUGAUUUUAAAAGGUGGACAGAGGGAUGGCAGGAAAAUGGAGUGGUGGUGAGGAAAGUCACAGGGCAGCCCUGACCUUCCACCCCUCUCUUCCUGCAUGGCCAACAUAACUUACCACUCUUGUCCUUGGGAGUGACCAUGGACUCUGGCUUUGGGAGCCCUGGUUCUGAGGGUACUUCGGGGAGGAGCCCAGGAGAGAUGAGUAAUUUCUGCUGUUCUCCAUACUUUCGUACCUGAACCCUGGGGUGAGAGGCAGGGGAAUGAGAAUGGGAGGCUGAACCCUAGAGAUGACCCCACAACCUUUGCUCAAUGACUCAAUGACUUCUGGGACCCUCUGCAUGUCUUUCAUGGAGGCUGGCAUCUAGCUAAGUCACCAAGUUUCAGCAUUUAGCUACCACCUAUCAAUGUACUACCAUAUUCGUGUGCUGUCUAGAAAUUAUUUGUCAUUUCCCAUGAUGUGGAUCCACUCUUUCUACUUAUAUUUUUUUAAAAGAAAACAGUGUCUCUACACAGAGGCAAAGCACUAUUGUCAGAUCCCUGUACCAGUUCUUGGGAUUCAGUGUACUUAUCUGAAGAAUGAGGACAAUAACAAUAUAUGGGCUGGAUGUGUUAUAUGUGUCAAAGCCCUCAGGACAUGCCUGGCAUACCAGAAGCAUCAAAUAUGAAUGAUCGUAUACUUAUUCUCAAAGCAACUCCACAUCUGGGUCUUCUGUCCUAGGAGCCCAGCACUCCCUGACUAACUUUCCUCUCUCCUUCCUUCCAAUAAUCAGAAGGCCUGAAGGUGAAACUAAAAAGUGAGUGGCUUUCUCACUAUGCUUCUCACUCCACUUGGUGGACUCAGGUAUGUCCAGGGAAACACAAAUGAUGGUUAUUACCAAGCCCCGCACUCCCCGCCCCCUAACUCACUGCAGAUCCUUGAUGUUGAUGAGGAAGAGGACUAGGAAGUUGCCACUGUUUUUCUGAAGAGGGCAGUCAUGAAAAUCCUGGGUCUGGGGAAUGGGCAAGAAGGAACCUUGGUUACCCUUUCCCAUGGGCCCAGCUCUACCCUGCCUCCCUCUCCAUCCACCCAGGGCUCUUCUUGUUUCUGCCUCUAGAAGAACAGGGAGAGGCCUUUGGGUUACAGAUGCAGAAGAUAGACUCCCCCCCUACACACACACCACUUAGCCACUCAGCUCCUCUCUCUCCCUCCAUACACCCUCCACUCACUGAAUAGGAUCGGGAGCUGCCAGAUCGGACUCGGCUCAGACUAAAGCCCACCUGGAGGAUGGAAAGGAAUGGGGGAAGAUGUAAGAGACCUCAGCAGGAAAACUUCCACCCUAAGCCAUUUUCUUCAGUAGCAAUAGAAAACUAAGCUCACAUUCAUUGGACACCCACCAUGUGCUAGAUCCCACGUUUUCUCUCUGAACUUUCCAAUAACCUUCCUGUCCCUCCUUUGUCUUCCUUUAACUCCUAAUCAUCCCCUGUCAACUCAAUCUUCUUGUUAGUGGCUCAGGGAGACCUUCAACAGCCCACCCUGUUUUUCCCCAUUUAAAAUGAUAAUGGCUUCCUGUCCUAGGCUCUGGAACCCAAUCUUCUUAGGGUUUGCCCAUUGUGUGACUCUGAGGAAGCCACAUACCUCCGAACCUGUGGUAUACAAAUAAAGUUGGCUUUAGUGAAUUUUCUGCAACAUCCCUGAGAGGUGACUAUGAGGAAAUGGAUCCAUGGAAAAUGCUUUGCAUAGUACCUACCUUGUACCUAGUGUGUAUUCAAUAGAUGCUAGUUAUGUAUUCUGACUUCAUGAACUGGGGUUGUCUUAUUUAUUGGUAUGUCCCCCUACCCCGCUCUUUAAGAAAAGUGCCACCUAGAAGCUGAGCUAGUCCUAGCUACUUGGAGGCUGAGGUGGGAGGAUCAUUUGAGGACUUCCAUGCUUCAGUGAGCUAUGUCAGUGCCUGUGAAUGGUCACUGUACCCCAACCUGGGCAACACGGGAAGACCUUGUCUCUAAAAUAAAAAGAAAAGCGCCUAGUACAUUUUGCAUAAGACAUUAUUAUUAUUGCCAGGUAACAUAUGAGGAAACUGAAGCUCAGAAAAACCAAGGGACUUGCCCAAGAUCACAUGAGUACAAAGAAGAGCUAGAAAGGGAACCCAGAACUGGAAGUGUGUGUGUGAAGGUUGUGUACUCUGUCCUCUUCCAGCAAUCUCCUCAAACCCCCUCACCAGCAAGGACUUCUCUUCUGCCUCCUGGAGGCCCAGCCGCAGCAGGCUCAGCUCCACCUCCAGGGAGCCAUUCGUGUAGAAGCCGAAGCUGUUCAGCUGGAUGUCUGCUCGCUUCUCCCCCUACCGGCAGACCAAGGAGGUAGAAGCGGCUCAGACUUCUCACCACCAGACCAGCCCUAAGGACUCGAGGCAUGAGACACCCUCUCCCACGCCCACCAAGGGCCUCCUGGGACCCCUUUAUUUAGAACAGCCACACAGAAUGACAAGAAAGAGUUAGGGUGCCCGGUUCCCUGAAGUUUUCUGGCCGCUGUUCAGAAAGCACAGUAAGGGAAAUCUUGUGGCACCUGACGCCCCCCCCGCCCCCCUCCCCCGCCUCCACCGGGUGAGUACCACCCUAGACUAGUUAUUCACUUCGGUGUUCCUGGCUUUCACCUCCUGGGAUUUUUUUAGGUUGCAAACGAGCUCCCCUAGAGUGCUGAGCUUUCAACUGAGCCCUCAAGAUCCCAAUGAGCUCCCAAGGGGAACCCACUCCAGAACCCCCAGGAGUCCCCGGCUCCCCACGAAAGGCGUCAAGAGUCCCGGGAGGCCGCAAAAUGAUUGCAUAAAUUUAAAGGGCUAAGACUCCAGGGGUCUUGAGACGGAGCUCCGCCUCCGACGGGCGGGGCGCGACCCCCGCGUGGCCCGCCCGGCAACUCCAUCCCAAGGACUGCGGGGGAUCCUAGGACGAGACCACUUCGGGUCUGAAAACGAAGGGGCGCCGGACCGCUCCAUCACGCGCACGAAGCGGGGAAGGUUGGUCGAGACCACUCCAAGCCAGGGGCUUCCGGGACAAAGUUGCGGGCCUCCGCCUCCAACCGCCACGCGAUGGGUCUCACCGUCAGUACCAGCCGGUGGAUGCGCCCGGAGCAGCCGCCCAACAACAGCAGCAGAAGUAGCCGCUGCCCCCACUCCGCCGGGCUCCCGCGACCGAGCCCCCUCCUCUCGCUCACUGCCAUCUCUGGAGCCACCGCCUCCCUGGAUACCGCCUCUGAGGCCCAAGCCCGCCUACUGAUAAGCCAAUCGCCGCAAGGAGGGGUACAGCUGCUGCAAGACGGCGGCAGAUGGACAUCACUAGGACCGAAUGGGAGAGCAAACCUGCUUAACCCCGCCUCCACUCCCACCAAUCACUAGAAAGAUUUCCCCGGAUGUAAUUUGAUAAACAGUUUAUUUAACCAAUUGUGAUGGAUCUGAUAUCUAGCCCCUGGAAGCGGAAUUCCUUCCCCUACUCUCAACGGUCCAGGAUUACAUUACCCGGAAUGCAAAGGGAGCAGACAAGUUCGACAAGGCAUUAAGUAAACUACGUUUCCCAGUAUCCCCAAGGACGAACUCCCCCACUCCCCGCCCCAGGGAUGGGGCUCCAGGCCAGAGCUCAGGCUUUCGGUAAACACAUGCAGCAGUUGA
Molecule: long non-coding RNA, 5825 nt
Organism: Otolemur garnettii (small-eared galago)
Lineage: Eukaryota; Metazoa; Chordata; Mammalia; Primates; Galagidae
Exons: 2
Source: RefSeq, a predicted model, not a curated record